GAGCCCGUAGCUCAGUCGGUUAGAGCGCUAGGUUGUGGCCCUAGAGGCCGUGGGUUCAAUUCCCAUCGGGCUCCCA
RNAcentral lists this transfer RNA (76 nucleotides) under Balneola sp. Its description in RNAcentral is "tRNA-His". It matches the Rfam family "tRNA". From Rfam's summary of the family: Transfer RNA (tRNA) molecules are approximately 80 nucleotides in length. Their secondary structure includes four short double-helical elements and three loops (D, anti-codon, and T loops). The record is from RNAcentral. Lineage: Bacteria; Pseudomonadati; Balneolota; Balneolia; Balneolales; Balneolaceae.